GACGAACGCUGGCGGCGUGCCUAAUACAUGCGAGUAGAACGCUGAAGGAGGAGCUUGCUCUUCUGGAUGAGUUGCGAACGGGUGAGUAACGCGUAUGUAACCUGCCUGGUAGCGGGGGAUAACUAUUGGAAACGAUAGCUAAUACCGCAUAAAAUUGAUUAUUGCAUUAUAGUCAAUUAAAAGGUGCAAUUGCAUCACUACCAGAUGGACCUGCGUUGUAUUAGCUAGUUGGUGAGGUAACGGCUCACCAAGGCAACGAUCCAUAGCCGACCUGAGAGGGUGAUCGGACACACUGGGACUGAGACACGGCCCAGACUCCUACGGGAGGCAGCAGUAGGGAAUCUUCGGCAAUGGACGGAAGUCUGACCGAGCAACGCCGCGUGAGUGAAGAAGGGUUUCGGAUCGUAAAGCUCUGUUGUAAGAGAAGAACGAGUGUGAGAGUGGAAAGUUCACACUGUGACGGUAUCUUACCAGAAAGGGACGGCUAACUACGUG
This 495-nucleotide ribosomal RNA is filed under the name uncultured bacterium. Its description in RNAcentral is "partial 16S ribosomal RNA". It matches the Rfam family "Bacterial small subunit ribosomal RNA", at positions 28 to 507 of the family's 1533-position model. The record is from RNAcentral.